Molecule: small RNA, 148 nt
Filed under: Pongo abelii (Sumatran orangutan)
Lineage: Eukaryota; Metazoa; Chordata; Mammalia; Primates; Hominidae
Description: Metazoan signal recognition particle RNA (ENSPPYG00000040881.1)
Source: Rfam by way of RNAcentral
GCCAGGCGUGGUGGCACAUGCCUGUAAUCCCAGCUACUCAGGAGGCUGAGGCAGGAGAAUUGCUUGAGCCCGGGAAGCGGAGGUUGCAGUGAGCUGAGAUCACACCACUGCACUCCAGCCUGGGCGACAGAGCAAGACUCUGUCUCAA